Molecule: ribosomal RNA, 498 nt
Filed under: uncultured bacterium
Lineage: Bacteria
Description: partial 16S ribosomal RNA
Rfam family: Bacterial small subunit ribosomal RNA
Source: RNAcentral
GAUGAACGCUGGCGGCGUGCCUAAUACAUGCAAGUCGAGCGAACAGACGAGGAGCUUGCUCCUCUGACGUUAGCGGCGGACGGGUGAGUAACACGUGGAUAACCUACCUAUAAGACUGGGAUAACUUCGGGAAACCGGAGCUAAUACCGGAUAAUAUAUUGAACCGCAUGGUUCAAUAGUGAAAGACGGUUUUGCUGUCACUUAUAGAUGGAUCCGCGCCGCAUUAGCUAGUUGGUAAGGUAACGGCUUACCAAGGCAACGAUGCGUAGCCGACCUGAGAGGGUGAUCGGCCACACUGGAACUGAGACACGGUCCAGACUCCUACGGGAGGCAGCAGUAGGGAAUCUUCCGCAAUGGGCGAAAGCCUGACGGAGCAACGCCGCGUGAGGGAUGAAGGUCUUCGGAUCGUAAAACUCUGUUAUUAGGGAAGAACAAAUGUGUAAGUAACUAGGCACGUCUUGACGGUACCUAAUCAGAAAGCCACGGCUAACUACGUGC